AUUCUACUUCUAUUGCACAAACAUAAUUCACACACUUUAGGAGGACUUAGGGUUGUAACGGGGCUUAGGACAGGUGGGAUAAACAACAAACGGAUACACAAGGGUUUUUGGGCUCGGCACUCAUGCUAUUUUUCUUAUACCUGUGCUUAUUUUGAUAUAAAGGGGUUCGACAUCGACUAUUUAACUUUACUCAACAGAUUGAGUAUUGCAAAUGUACUCAAGUCGUUUAGUUGGGAC
RNAcentral lists this long non-coding RNA (237 nucleotides) under Lathyrus oleraceus (garden pea). Its description in RNAcentral is "Pisum sativum (pea) long non-coding RNA (PSAT_LNC015966)". Lineage: Eukaryota; Viridiplantae; Streptophyta; Magnoliopsida; Fabales; Fabaceae. The record is from RNAcentral.